This 647-nucleotide long non-coding RNA is filed under the name Helianthus annuus (common sunflower). RNAcentral's name for it is "hypothetical non coding rna". Lineage: Eukaryota; Viridiplantae; Streptophyta; Magnoliopsida; Asterales; Asteraceae. The record is from RNAcentral.
GCUCAUUUCUUUCUUCUUUUCUCUAUACAUUGGUGUUCUAACCAAUAAUCACUCAAUCGCUAUUACGAUUCAUUUUCCGACCGAUCAAUAUAUCCAAUGGAUGUUUAAGUGCCGCCCAUAUUAGGGUUAUACUUUGUCGUUCGUCGUUAAUUCGAUGAAUGUUUAAGUAUCGCACUUUGUCGUUCGUUGUGAGAAUUUGAUCUCGUGAGUUAUCGUAAAAGCUGUAUUGAUCAUUAACCGGGUUUUUGUAAAAUUCGUUAAGGUUCGAAUCUCAUGACUACCGUUAAGGUUUGAUUUGGGUUUUACACCAAUAUGUAUUCCAUUCUGUUAAACUAUAUAUUUAACUACCAAGAAUACUCCCAACUACACCCUUACAAUCAAACCAACUAUUAAAUCAUCAGAAAAUCCAGAAUAAUAAAGUGCAUGCUUAAUUAUCGGAAGAAGUAGAAUCAAGAAGUUUGUUAACUCAAUCCUGCAUGCUGAGUUGUAAUUACAGUAGAUUGGAGUAAGGAUUGGAUCCGGCACUAAAAGACUUCAAGAAGUGGCUUAUUUUAUUAAUUAAAUCAAAUUAAGAAAUGUUGUUUUUAUUAAAAGCUACCUUUGUAAAACAUGGAAUUUAUUCCAUCUAUUUAAAUAAAAUCCGGUGU